AAAUCUUUGACCUCAAAUCAGGUAGGAAUACCCGCUGAACUUAAGCAUAUCAAUAAGCGGAGGAAAAGAAACCAACCGGGAUUGCCUCAGUAACGGCGAGUGAAGCGGCAAAAGCUCAAAUUUGAAAUCUGGGGUCUUCGACCUCCGAGUUGUAAUUUGAAGAAAGUAUCUUUGGAUUUAGCCUUUUUCUAAGUUCCUUGGAACAGGACUUCAUAGAGGGUGAGAAUCCCGUAUGGAGAAGUGUCUAUUUCUAUGUAAAGUGCUUUCGACGAGUCGAGUUGUUUGGGAAUGCAGCUCUAAGUGGGUGGUAAAUUCCAUCUAAAGCUAAAUAUUGGCGAGAGACCGAUAGCGAACAAGUACAGUGAUGGAAAGAUGAAAAGAACUUUGAAAAGAGAGUGAAAAAGUACGUGAAAUUGUUAAAAGGGAAGGGCUUCAGAUCAGACUUGAUGUUUAGUGAUCCAUCUUCCUUUUUGGUUGGUGCACGCGCUUUUCAUUGGGCCAACAUCGAUUUGGAUGGUAGGAUAAUGCCGUUGGAAUGUAGCUUCACUCGUGAAGUGUUAUAGACUUCGGUGAUACUGCCCAUCUGGAUCGAGGACUGCGUCUUUUGACUAGGAUGUUGGCGUAAUGAUCU
RNAcentral lists this ribosomal RNA (631 nucleotides) under Sporopachydermia sp. D82-520A. RNAcentral's name for it is "LSU rRNA". It matches the Rfam family "Eukaryotic large subunit ribosomal RNA", at positions 1 to 640 of the family's 3401-position model. Lineage: Eukaryota; Fungi; Ascomycota; Sporopachydermiomycetes; Sporopachydermiales; Sporopachydermiaceae. The record is from RNAcentral.